RNAcentral lists this ribosomal RNA (393 nucleotides) under uncultured fungus. RNAcentral describes it as "bacterial SSU rRNA". It matches the Rfam family "Eukaryotic small subunit ribosomal RNA", at positions 27 to 375 of the family's 1831-position model. Lineage: Eukaryota; Fungi. The record is from RNAcentral.
CCAGGUAGUCAUUAUGCUUGUCUCAAAGAUUAAGCCAUGCAUGUCUAAGUAUAAGCAACUUGUACAGUGAAACUGCGAAUGGCUCAUUAAAUCAGUCAUCGUUUAUUUGAUAAUCCCUUACUACAUGGAUACCUGUGGUAAUUCUAGAGCUAAUACAUGCUUCAAGGAGUGGCUUUCGUCACUCUGCACUUAUUAGAUAAAAAACCAAUGCCCCUUUGGGGCUUCCUGGUGAUUCAUAAUAAUUUAGCGGACCGCAUUCCCUCGAGGAGGCGGUGGAUCAUUCAAAUUUCUGCCCUAUCAACUUUCGAUGGUAGGAUAGUGGCCUACCAUGGUUUCAACGGGUAACGGGGAAUGGGGCGGGGGCGGCGGGCCGGGCGCGGGGCGCGGCGGGCG